UAGGGAAUCUUCGGCAAUGGGGGGAACCCUGACCGAGCAACGCCGCGUGAGUGAAGAAGGUUUUCGGAUCGUAAAGCUCUGUUGUUAAGGAAGAACGAGUGUGAGAAUGGAAAGUUCAUGCUGUGACGGUACUUAACCAGAAAGGGACGGCUAACUACGUGCCAGCAGCCGCGGUAAUACGUAGGUCCCGAGCGUUGUCCGGAUUUAUUGGGCGUAAAGCGAGCGCAGGCGGUUAGAAAAGUCUGAAGUGAAAGGCAGUGGCUCAACCAUUGUAGGCUUUGGAUACUGUUUAACUUUAGUUCAGAAGGGGAGAGUGGAAUUCCAUGUGUAGCGGUGAAAUGCGUAGAUAUAUGGAGGAACACCGGUGGCGAAAGCGGCUCUCUGGUCUGUAACUGACGCUGAGGCUCGAAAGCGUGGGGAGCGAACAGG
Molecule: ribosomal RNA, 429 nt
Filed under: Bacteroidota bacterium
Lineage: Bacteria; Pseudomonadati; Bacteroidota
Description: Bacteroidetes bacterium partial 16S ribosomal RNA
Rfam family: Bacterial small subunit ribosomal RNA
Source: RNAcentral